AUAGCCUUUCUGCAACGGCUGCAGAGCUAACAAGAGGAGACCCCGGUUCCUUUCUGUGCCUCAACAUCUCAGCUCACCCCGUGCAACCAAACAGAGCUACUUACCAGGGCUUUGUUUUCCGGUUUGAAAGGCUUUCAUCCGGGUGGUGUAUGGGGUUUUUGACGGAUUGAACCGACGCUUGCAGAAAUCACCAGUGGCCUCUGGUUCUCUUUGCGGCUGCUCUGAACCUGCUUAAGAUGCCUGACGUCUGCUUUUCUCUUUACUUACCCUGAAGCCAUUUCUGAACCGCAAAUCGCCCCUUCCGCAAACCAGAGUCUUUGACAAGUGUGGAUAACUGGGAAAGGCACAGGUGACUUCUCUGUCUCCAUCCUCAGAAUCAAAUUGUAAAAAUCCUCUGUGAUGAAAUGAGAUACGUCUUCCAGUGGAGCUUCUAGCCUGAGGAGAUGCUGGAGGACUAUGUCCAGGAGGCAUAACUACCAGAAAUAGAAGUUUAAGCAGAUGGACUUUUAAGGAACCAGGAGUUAUCAAAUGCACCUGGUAUGAUACUAUGAUGCUCAGGAACAUGAGCUAGUUUUCAGGAGCCCAUAGGUAGGGAACAAAUGUCUUCUGAAGGGCACAAGGCAACGCUGUCACAGCCGGGCCAUCCAGGCGCAUGGAGGCUCCCCAUGACGUCUUUGUUGAGCACACAUGAGAACAUCUGAGGUGAGAGAUCUAAGCUGAACUUCAAGGGUGCAGGCUGAGAGGGCUCCAUCGGCUUUCCCUCACUACCUCCUACUCUCCAAGGGUGCCAUCUCCUCAGUUCUCAUUUCGUUACCCCCCUGGACCUCUUAAAGUGACGCGGAAGGGACGGUGUGAAGAAGCAUCAGCUCUGUUAUCUAUGCUGCUGUUGAGGAUGGGGAAACUGAAAGAAGCUCUUUCUAGAUGCUGUUAAGUUUUCCUCAGGGUGGCCCUGAGGAAUGUUCCAAGCCAGCUGAGGACAGGUGUUAAUGCUCUGGCUGCUCUGUGGGUAUCAGCGUAGGAAAAUGGCCUGGACCACAGGCCUGGAGGGGGUGCACUUGAAAUCCCAAGGACUUUACAUAAGGGAUUAUAAAGAGUUCAUCGAUGAAACAGGGAAACUAAUCAUUCUCCAGAGUGUAAGAUUCCGAUGAGCACACAAGUGCCAGGCAGCUAACCUUGUUCCCCAGAAUUCUCUUCUCCACAGAGUUUAAGGACCAUGAGAGACAUCUGGAGUGACAUUUGGAAGAUGUGAGUGAAACUGCAGCCACAGUUCUUGGAGUUGGGCAAUCUGCACAGGGCACGGGGUGCGGCCGCAACUCAUGAAUGUUGUCACCGAUCUGUUGGCUCUCCUGGCUGGCGUGGGGCAGCUUCCAGGCCUGCUGGCUCUCCUCCUUCAGCUUCUCACAGGCCAGGUGUGUGUUUAGCUCCCUGAUGAAGAACAGAAGCUUCACCUGUAGGACACCCUCAUCGUCAGAGGCGGGGUCUCAGACCGGUGAGGCGCCCAAGCAGGUUCUGGCCCACCUUGGCAGAUUCUAAUGACCCCUGCGGUUCUAUCUUGUUCUCGUUUCCCCUCUUCAUGUCCGUGACCACCUGCCCUGCCGACUUCAGGCUUCACAGCACCCAACACAAAAGCCACAGCCUUCACGUACUGUUUAACCAGCCCCCACAACUGAGCAGAGCCGAAGCCCUGUAAUAAAUCCCUUCGUAUGUAUGUA
Molecule: long non-coding RNA, 1712 nt
Organism: Mustela erminea (ermine)
Lineage: Eukaryota; Metazoa; Chordata; Mammalia; Carnivora; Mustelidae
Exons: 2
Source: RefSeq, a predicted model, not a curated record